UGACGUAGACCUCUGAGCUCAGUUUAAAUUCUAAUUAGAAGAGUAUCCGUUAAGAGGUACUUACUUAGAUGCAGCCUGUGGCUGCCAGUUCGAGAGGCUGAGUCCGAUCACACCCCACCCCACCCUUCUUCAGGCUCCCCCGACUCGGCUCCCUCUCUGACCUUCUCCCUUCUUCUGGACUGCUCCGUAUCCUCCGGACCGCAGGUCAGUCAGUCUGAGCGGCUUCCCUGGCUAAGGGGGGCCCGGCACGAGAGCCCGGCCCCUGCGCGAGCCGCCCGAAGGAGGGAGGAAGGAAGGAGGGAGGGGAAGAAAGAAGGAAGGAGGGAGCGAUGGGUUCCCAGGCCCCGCGACCUUCGAUGUCCACACUCUGCCCCUGCCAGGCAGGACCAUGAAGCCAGUUCGCCGCAAAUCCACCCCAAAGAAGCGCCCCUCGAACCAAUCUCAGCCCCGCGCCUCCACCUCCGCCUCCACUUCCACCACCACCAUCCCCACAGGCACCACGCGCCGGCGACGCUACCCGGGUGGAACCAGUCAGCGAAUUCUUAGGGAGAUCCACAAGUUACAGAAAAGCACAAAUCUGCUGAUCAGGAAGGCACCCUUUGGUCGACUAGUUAGAGAAAUAUGUCUCCGGUUUACUCGAGGGGUGGAUUAUUAUUGGCAAGCUAAUGCUCUACUGGCCCUACAGGAGGAAUGGCAGAUAGUGUUGAUUUGAUUAAAGCAGUCUGAGAGGGGGAACAGCAUGGCACCAAGAAGGCCAGAGAGCAAUGUGCUUCCUAACAGAAUUCUCUCCUGGAUCUCCUGGGAAGCAGAAAGAAAUCUGAGUGGCAAGAAGUAGAAGCACCUACUGGGAGGGGAGGAGAGCUGCCAUGGAGCAGUGGAAGACGUGGCAGGACAGAGGCACUUGAUGGGCAGUAGUGGCAGGUGACACCUGAGUAAUGCAGGAUUGCUGCAGAAGACAAACACUGUGACAGAGCAGCCCUGGAAGGCUGCACUGAUGGGAGCCCUAUGCAGGGCACAGAGACUGAGAAAAGAGUAGUCACUGGAAGGAUAUUUUUUUCCCAAGAACUCAGAUUCAAGGCCCAUCUGAUUCCAUUAAUUUUUAAAUAAAACCAUUCCUCUUUUGAA
Molecule: non-coding RNA, 1125 nt
Organism: Monodelphis domestica (gray short-tailed opossum)
Lineage: Eukaryota; Metazoa; Chordata; Mammalia; Didelphimorphia; Didelphidae
Source: RefSeq, a predicted model, not a curated record